GUCGAACGAUCCUUUUAGCUUUUGAGACUUCGGUCGAUUUUGCUUUUAGGAUAGUGGCGAACGGGUGAGUAAUGCAUAGGUAACUUUCCUCGAAGUCAGGGAUAGCUCGUCGAAAGACGGGAUAAUACUUGAUUGUCCAUUAGAAACGUAAGUUUUUUUUGGUAAAGCUCAGGCGCUUCGAGAUGGGCUUAUGUUCUAUCAGCUUGUUGGUAAGGUAAUGGCUUACCAAGGCUAAGACGGAUAGCUGGCGUGAGAGCGUGGUCAGCCACAGUGGAACUGAGACACGGUCCACACUCCUACGGGAGGCAGCAAUUAGGAAUCUUGCGCAAUGGGGGCAACCCUGACGCAGCGACGCCGCGUGGAGGAUGAAGGUUCUCGGAUCGUAAACUCCUUUUAUGUGGGAAGAAUGAAUGACGGUACCACAUGAAUAAGUACCUGCUAACUACGUGCCAGAAGCAUCGGUGAUACGUAGGGUGCGAACAUUAUCCGGAGUUAUUGGGUGUAAAGAGAAGCGUAGGCUUUUUCGUAAGUCAAAUGUUAAAGACCUCUGCUCAACAGAGGGAAGGCACUUGAUACUAUGAGAAUGGAGAUAGGAAGGGGCGAGUGGAAUUCUCGGUGUAGCGGUUAAAUGCGUUGAUAUCGAGAGGAACACCAGAGGCGAAGGCGACUCGCUGGUCCUAUUCUGACGCUAAGGCUCGAAAGCGUGGGGAGCAAAACGGAUUAGAUACCCGUGUAGUCCACGCCCUAAACAAUGGAUGCUGGGUGUUCGAUACAACUGAUUCAGUUCUUCGGAAUUGUCUUGGAAGUAUUGAGUGCCGAAGCUAACGCGUU
RNAcentral lists this ribosomal RNA (831 nucleotides) under uncultured organism. RNAcentral describes it as "bacterial SSU rRNA". It matches the Rfam family "Bacterial small subunit ribosomal RNA", at positions 61 to 861 of the family's 1533-position model. The record is from RNAcentral.